RNAcentral lists this ribosomal RNA (502 nucleotides) under uncultured bacterium. RNAcentral's name for it is "bacterial SSU rRNA". It matches the Rfam family "Bacterial small subunit ribosomal RNA", at positions 28 to 507 of the family's 1533-position model. The record is from RNAcentral.
GACGAACGCUGGCGGCGUGCUUAACACAUGCAAGUCGAACGGAGAACUUUCUUCGGAAUGUUCUUAGUGGCGAACGGGUGAGUAACGCGUAGGCAACCUGCCCUCUGGUUGGGGACAACAUUCCGAAAGGGAUGCUAAUACCGAAUGAGAUCCUCUUUCCGCAUGGAGAGAGGAUGAAAGAUGGCCUCUACUUGUAAGCUAUCGCCAGAAGAUGGGCCUGCGUCUGAUUAGCUAGUAGGUGAGGUAACGGCUCACCUAGGCGAUGAUCAGUAGCCGGUCUGAGAGGAUGAACGGCCACAUUGGGACUGAGACACGGCCCAAACUCCUACGGGAGGCAGCAGUGGGGAAUCUUCCGCAAUGGACGAAAGUCUGACGGAGCAACGCCGCGUGAGUGAUGAAGGUCUUCGGAUUGUAAAACUCUGUUGUCAGGGACGAAAGCACCGAUCUAUAAUACAUUUUGGUGUUGACGGUACCUGACGAGGAAGCCACGGCUAACUACGUG